This 504-nucleotide ribosomal RNA is filed under the name uncultured bacterium. RNAcentral describes it as "bacterial SSU rRNA". It matches the Rfam family "Bacterial small subunit ribosomal RNA", at positions 8 to 524 of the family's 1533-position model. The record is from RNAcentral.
AGAGUUUGAUCCUGGCUCAGAAUCAACGCUGGCGGCGUGCCUCAGACAUGCAAGUCGAACGAUUAAAGCUCUCUUCGGAGAGUGCAUAAAGUGGCGCACGGGUGAGUAACACGUAAGUAAUCUACCCUCGGGUGGGGAGUAACAUCGGGAAACCGAUGCUAAUACCGCAUAAUGCAGCGGCACCGCAAGGUGACAGUUGUUAAAGGAGUAAUUCGCCUGAGGAGGAGCUUGCGGCAGAUUAGCUAGUUGGUAAGGUAAUGGCUUACCAAGGCUACGAUCUGUAACCGGUCUAAGAGGACGGUCGGUCACACUGACACUGAAUAACGGGUCAGACUCCUACGGGAGGCAGCAGUCGGGAAUUUUGGGCAAUGGGCGAAAGCCUGACCCAGCAACGCCGCGUGAAGGAUGAAGUAUUUCGGUAUGUAAACUUCGUAAGAAUAGGAAGAAUAAAUGACGGUACUAUUUGUAAGGUCCGGCUAACUACGUGCCAGCAGCCGCGGUAAU